CCAACCAAUCGCCGAGGAGCACCACCUACCGAGCGGCGGCUCAUUGGCGAAAGCGACCGUCAAGUAGCAACGUCACCCGGCAGCCAGGCGAGGCGGGGCAGAACUCUCGCCUUGGCUGCCUGAGUGAGUGUGAGUGUGAGAGCGAGAACAGCCCGCAGGUCCCGAGGCGCUUGCAGGGGACUCUGCCGCGGAAAGUUCCCAGUCCCCAGCCGCAGCUAUUCUGGAAAUCAGGAAACUCUCAAAAUAAGUAAUAUCCAUAAAGGAAAAAAUGUGAGCAUUUCUGAUAUGAGACACUCCAUAAAGAAAAAUGCUGUCCUGGGAAUCACUCCUAGAACACCUUUCUCGCCUGAAGCUGCUGACCUUGGAGGCAGAGGGAGAUGAAGAGAAUGGUACUGAUUCCUCACAAUUUAGCACAGUCUCCCUUGAAAUGACACAGAAAACUUAGAAGAUGCUGGCUGGAGAGUCCAUUUUUUUCUAUUUAUACCACAGCUCUGGAUUGUCUGUUUCCGGCUAGUCUACACCCAGUCCCCAACGUUUUUAUGAGAAAGCAUGAAGUCUCUUAUCAUUCAAUGGAUCCUGUAGUCUGGUUCAGGAGUUUUUCCAGACCAGCAAUAUUUUGGCCUAUUCUUAUCUAGAAGAAGAGAUGAUUCUCAUGUCUUCCAAUUCUACAUAUGCAGAUUCAGCCAAACAGAGAUCAAAAAUACUUAGAAAAAAGGUUCAUUUUUAUAAGAACAGGAUAAUUUGACCAAAGUAUUUCAUCAAACUGAAGUCUUUUGAUCACUUCAAGCAGAACUCCUGCUCGUGAAUGUGUCCUGUGAAGACCAGUGUUUACUAUCAACCUAAUGUCCUCACAUUAAGCUUUCUGUGUCUACACCCUGCCUAGGUGACCACUGUACCAAGAGCAGCACAGAUGACUCAUUUUAUUCAGGAACCUUGAACAAUCAUCGGACCCUGGGGAAAGCCAGCCCACAGCUUAAAUAGCCUCUGGGUAGCCAACCCCAACUUGCCACGUGGGCAAUGCAGAUAGGUCCACAUACAUGGAAGCAAGCCAGAUCCUCAGCCUUAGCCAAAUGUGGAGUUGUUUGUGACAGAGAGCACUCACCAUCGGGAAGGUGGAAGGCGGAAACCAGCUCCAUUGAACUUCUAUAAGCCCAAGUACCUAUGGAGGCCUGAGGAAGUGAUCAUGUGCCCUGGAAGUAGAGUAACAGGUUGCAAGUUGUUUGCUUUUGUGGUGUUGAGUAUUGAAGAGAGAACAUGGGUAAUAGAGAAAAGAAUUCACCACUCAGCCCUGUGCAGUGCAGGAUUUAUAUGGGCCAAACCACAGGUCACACACCCAAGUGACUACGAUGCUUUUCUUCACUGAGGGAAUUUUUUUAAUUAAAUUUUUAUUUUUUUAUAUUAAUUACAGUUUAUUCAAUUUGUAUCCCAGCUGUAGCCCACUCCCUUAUUCCCUCCUAAUCUCCCUUUCCCUCCCUCAUCUCCUCCUAUACCCCUCUCCAAGUCCAUGGAUAGGGGAGGAACUCCUCCCCUUCCAUCUGACCAUAGCUUAUCCAUUCUCAUCUGAACUGGCUGCAUUGUCCUCCUCUGUGGCCUGGCAAGGCUGCUUCCCAUCAGAGGGAGGUGGUCAAAGAGCCAGCCACUGAGUUCAUGUCAGAGACAGUCCCUGUUCCCUUUACUAGUGAUACUAGCUCAGUAUCACUUAGAUGCUGAGUUGCCAUGGGCUACAUCUGAGCAGCGGUUCUAGGUUAUAUCCAUGAAUGGUCCUUGGUUUAAGAGCAGAUAUGAGACAUUUUAAGAGAAACAUCUUACCCUUACCUCAGGACUUCCUUCAGAAGUCAAGUCGCCUUUCUUUCUCUCCCUCACAUUCACCUCACCAAUCUCUCUCUCUCUCUCUCCUAACUUUCUCUUUAACCCUUGCACUCAGUCUCUUGCCCUCUGGAAAGAACUGGAACUAAAAUAUAUAUACAUGAAAAGUUGUUUCUCUGAGAAGAAGGAAAGAAGUGUGCUUGGAACAGUGUCUGCUGCAUGCACCAAAAUUGUAACCAAAAAGGCCCUCUUGAGUCCUAAUCCAAACAAAAGUGAAAUGAUACCAUUUGGUGCACACUGGUUAAUGUGAGGCUCCUGAAAACUAGCCCACGGGAACAUCAAAUUUCUUACUUCUACGGCCUGUGAACAACUAAAAGUCACAGAAGAGACUCAUAGAUGCAUUAUUGUGGCUGAUCACCUUGUGACAUGCUACUGGUUGAAUGUCUUUUAGAAUAUAUGCACUGUGCUUCGAGUAAAUCUUUUACAAUUAAUAAAGAAUCAAGCUGGAGGCCUCAAACCAGACCAAUGACGCAUUGCAGUGACCAUUUGCACGUGAAGGUGUUUGGACAGAAGUGUAUACACUGUGUGACUAACUGUGACACACUGCAGCUUCCAGGGUAGGGAGGGAUCCUCCACCAACCCACCACAGCACUUCAAGUUGCAUCAAGACUGAGCACAUGGAGGCUUCAUGAUGGCCUGGAAAGGCAGCCCCACCACUGGGUAGUGACCAAAAAGCCUGCAACACAGUCCAUAUCAGAGUCAACCCCCAUUCUCCUUACUAGAGAGCACAUGUGAGCACCGAGCUGCUCAUGGGCUACAUCUGUGUGUGGGGUCUAGGUCCAGUCUAUGCAUGGUCCUUGGUUGGUGAUUUAAUGUCUGCAGGGAGCCCUGGGCCCAGAUUAGUUGGCUCUAUUGGUUUUCUUGUGACACUCCUAAAGCCUCUGGGUCCUUCUGUCCUUCCAGUAACUCUGCCACAAGGCUCCCUGUACUCGCUGUACUCCCUUCACUGCCCAGUCUUUGGGUGUGAGGCUCAGUGACUGUUUGGAUCUGCUGCUGGGUGGAGCCUCUCAGAAGACAGCUAUGCUAGGCUCCUGUCUGCAAGCAAAGCAGUGUCAUUGUUAAUGUCAGGGUUGGCUCUUUCCCAUGGGGGAGGUCUCAGGUUGGUCCAGGGAUUGGUUGGACAUUCCCUCCACCUCUGCUUUAUCUUUAUCCCUGCACAUCUUGUAAGAAAGGGAAAAUUUUGGGUUGAACUAAAAGGCAUACUACUGUAAAGACAGGCAUGACAUUUAGCAUGACAUUUAACAACAACAACAACAAAAAAUACCCAAACAAACAGACUAAAUCAAAACAAAACAAAAACAACUUUCUGCUCUGACUAGUUCUUAAUUAAUGUAAAAGCAUAUUAGAAGACUAUUUUUGUUGUUGUUAAAUUUAACCUUGAAUAGCCAUCCUGGAUUCUCACACUAAGUUUUUAACCAAGUUCAUUUAAAGUUCUAAUACUUACCUUCUACUCUGCUUAAAAAUGUGAGUUACGUAUACACACUGGGGAAAGUUCCCUCUUAAAAUUGGUUUUAUGACUUGAAGAUUCCCUACUUUAUAUAUAAAAUUAAAUUAGAUUCCUUUUGUUCAUUGAGAAAGUGUUUUAUUACUUUAAGGUUGACUAUGAACAUUUUCUCUGAGCUAAUAUUUUAGUUUAGAAUUAAAAUGUCAUCAUUAAUAUAGGCUAUAAAAUAAGUACUAUUUCAAGCCAAAAUUUUCUGCAUUCUGUGAUAUAAAUUUAAUUUUAUAUUUUUGAUGAGCUUACUUAAAAUAUAUUACCCAUGUUCUCAAUCCUUUUUAAUUUUAUAGUCACUAUUUUAUAAAAUUUAAAAUAAAAUAUUGUUUUAAAACAAGGAUAUA
Meriones unguiculatus (Mongolian gerbil) is the source of this 3705-nucleotide long non-coding RNA. RefSeq lists it as uncharacterized. The record is from RefSeq and is a predicted model, not a curated record. The transcript has 10 exons. Lineage: Eukaryota; Metazoa; Chordata; Mammalia; Rodentia; Muridae.